Molecule: ribosomal RNA, 492 nt
Filed under: uncultured bacterium
Lineage: Bacteria
Description: bacterial SSU rRNA
Rfam family: Bacterial small subunit ribosomal RNA
Source: RNAcentral
AGACGCUGGCGGCAGGCCUCAUACAUGCAAGUCGAGCGAUUAAGACUCCUUCGGGAGUGUAUAAAGCGGCGAACGGGUGAGGUAACAGGUGGAUGAUCUACCUUCCGGUGGGGGAUAACGGCUGGAAACGGCCGCUAAUACCGCAUUCGGUUAAUACGCUGCGGCGUAUUAAAGAAAGGCGCUUCAAAGCGCCGCCGGGAGAUGAGUCCGCCCCCCAUUAGCUAGUUGGUGAGAUAACAGCUCACCAAGGCAACGAUGGGUAGCCGAACUGAGAGGUUGAUCGGCCACACUGGAACUGAGACACGGUCCAGACACCUACGGGUGGCAGCAGUAGGGAAUAUUGGGCAAUGGGCGAAAGCCUGACCCAGCCAUGCCGCGUGAGUGAUGAAGGUCCUAGAGAUUGUAAAACUCUUUUCUGAGGAAAGAAUGAAUAGGGAAGGAAAUGUCCUUAUUUUGACGGUACCUCAGGAAUAAGGAACGGCUAACUCCGUG